Molecule: long non-coding RNA, 5418 nt
Organism: Mesocricetus auratus (golden hamster)
Lineage: Eukaryota; Metazoa; Chordata; Mammalia; Rodentia; Cricetidae
Exons: 8
Source: RefSeq, a predicted model, not a curated record
CUGCAUAUAGAGUCCCAGACCUGCCAAGUUUACAGAGUGAGACACUGUGACCUAUCUCACGUAAGCCCAGGCUGUUGUGUUUGGUAGGUUUCAUUUCUGUGACUCCAGAAACUGAGACUUAGAAGUGAUAUGACCUUUAGCUCCAAGCUAAGGGGCUUUUCUCCUUAUGCCAAGCUAGCUCCUGCUGAUGCAGGGCCUGGCCUUAAAGGACUAAAGCCGUGACUCUUGCCCCUCUGACUGGAAAAGAUUCCAUCACACAAAGCUUAUUGCACUCUCCCCUGUUCUCUGAGAAUGAGUGUCACUGUUUUUUUGGGGAAGUUCUGCCCAGGAGCAAAGGUUUCAGAGCAUGGGCGGGAACCAGACCUGGAAGUCAUCUUUACAGCCAUGCCACCCAAGCACCUCACUGAUGACUUGGUUAUUCACAGGAUGAAAGGAAACUUAGUAUGAAGGAACACAAGUCUUGAGACCCCUGGAGAAGGCCCUGGACCUGAAGAGUCCCAGGAGAAGAGCCAGAGCAGAAACUUCUGGAUGGAGCCAGGUCUGCAGAAACUCCCUGUUGUCUUUCUGGCACAGGGCAUGCUCACUCAUGCUCCAGUUUUCUUGUCCACUGGCAUUGGACAGUGUAUUCUAGUCCUCCCAGGCUUGCAAUUCGUAGACUAACACCUAGGAUUAUAUCCCUCAACCCUGACCCUGCGCCACCACCUUCAAGAUCUUUUGCGGUUCACUUGGGAAUGAUCAUGUGCUGGCUAGUUUUAUGUCAAUUGACACAAGCUGGAGUCAUCUGGGGAGAGGGAACCUCAGUUGAGAAAAUGCCCCCACCAGACUGGACUGAGGGCAAACCUGUGAAGCUUUUUUUUUUUUUCAAUGACUGAUGUGGGAAGGGCCAGUUAGCUGUGGGCAGUGCCCGCCCCUGGCCUGGUGGCCUUGGGUGAAGGGUUAAUGAUCUAAAAGCUGAGAAACUCCAGAUAGGAAAGUUGAUAGAGUGAUAACACCUGCAGGCAGUUAGGAGCUGGGACUCUGCUGACAAGAAAGUCAACCUAUGGAUAAGAGCCUCCCUUGGUAUUUACAGCUCUGAGACUUCAGGGAACACAUCUGCAGAUGGAAUCUUCCAACCUCAAAAGUUUCCUUUUCUGCCCUAUAAAACCCUCAGGCCCCCUGCUCCUGGGUGCACAGUCCAUCUCCGCCCCCUCCCCCCACCACACAGGGACCGCUUCCCCCCCAGCGUCCUAACAAAGGACUGUUUGCUUUUGUUGAGGUUCAUCUGCCGCUGAUUAAUCACCCGAUUGAUCCCCACCUAACACUGGAUGAUAUAAGAGACCAGGCUCUGCAAGCCCAUAGGCGGCACUCCUCCAAGGCCUCUGCGCCAGUUCCUGCUCCCGGGUUCCUGUCCUGCCUUGAGUUCCUUUGGUACUGGACUGCGAUGUGGAAGUGCAAACCUGUAAAUCUUUCCUUCCCCAAAUAGCUUUUAGCCGUGCUGCUUUAUCACAGCCAUAGAUGCCUUAACUAAGACAGUCCGCUUGGCUUCAGCACCAGGCAACCUCACAGGCAGACCCAGUGAUCCAUCUAGGGACACUCAGAAUUUGAGAGAAGGUCAUCUCAGAUCCUACCUAGACUUUUGUGAUCCAAAGAGCUAAGAAACCUGCUAAAUUUCAGCACAGGUGCAGUUUUGAGUUACCUGGCUAGCAUUAGGAACUGUAUUUGGAAGAUGAUUUUUUUUUUAGGUUUCAAAGCCUUAAUCAGAUCUUUGGUCUCCAAGAGGAAAAGGACCAAGAGAUAUGAGCUGCCAGGUUGCAAAGAGGAAAUGUUAGGUUUUUUUUUCCCCUGCUGUUGUGAUAAAAAUACCCUGACAAGAGCAAUGUAAGGGAGAGGGGGUUUAUUUGGCUCACAGCUCCAGCAUACAGUCCAUCAUGGCCUGGGAGUCAUGGCAACAGGAGCUUGAGGUAGCUGGUGACACUGGAUCUGCUGUCAGGAAACAAAGGGAGAAUAAUACAUGCAAUCGACAAGCUUUCUUCUUUGUAUGCCGUCGAAGAUCCAAGUCCAGGCCCAGGCCUCUCAGUUAGGAGGUCAGCCUUCCCAUCUCAGGUAGGUGUUCAGACACUCACGGACUUGCCUAGGGCCUUGUCUCCCAGGCGACUGACAAUUACUAUUAACCCCCACAAAGAGACCGCUCUCGAGGAGGAAGGAAAGGGAAGAAGGGCUGGGCACAGGCUGUCGGGAAGCCUGGGGUCGCCCCGGCACCUGUUGCCAUGGCUGGGUAGUGGUUUCCUGUACUUGUCCACACGUGAGCAGAGAGAACAUAAUGGGUUUGCCUUGGCAGGAAGAGGCUUCCUGUUUUGCUGUGAGGGCUCAUCGUUGGACACUGAGAGGAGGAGGCGGCGUGUGUGUCUGUGUUUUUCGAGUUGCUAGGGUUCCAGAGGAGAGGGAUGGGGACAGGUGUGGAGGGACGUCUGAAGAUGAUAAAUAGGAAAACAGGGGUGGGGUCUAUUCUUUCAGAGUCACUCAUCCACACCUCAGGGCAAGUCUGGCUCUGCUGCCCUGUUGUCAUGACAACUCCAAGCUACAGCCCUCCAGGUCCACCUGAGGGUUGUCUCAGUGCCUUCCCAUCCUCUGGUAAGAUUGUGUUGACUUCUGAGGCGGCCUUUACUUAAGGCAAGCCCCUUAACUUGGAAGCUUGGUCUGAAACCCUGGUGGGAACAAUGGGGGGAGUCAUGGGAUUGGUCUUGUGACAAAGUGACACAUUCGAAAGCUGAAGUGUGUUCCCUGAGCCCCGCAUGCCCAUCUGCACGCUGACUUAGACACCCCUCGUGUACUGAUGCGUGGGGAGGCUUGGAACUGUCUGCUGUAGUGAAGUGGUUCAGGUUCUCGCCUCGGCUGGCUCAGUGGUCUUUCCUCUCACUUACUCAUCUGGCGUAGGGAAUAUUGGCUGUCUGUCCUGUCUUGGUCUCACCUUUGGGGGUCCCACUGAUCAUCUCCUGGAGACCUGUGGGCUCAGGAGGUCAGUGAUACACACUCAGGAACUUCAGUCAAGAAGAAAAGAUGGUGGUGGUCCUAACCUUCCUGCCUGCCUUCCCCUGUGGCAGUUGAAGGAGUCAGUAUCUGCUUCCUCCUCUUGCAACUGUUUAUGGUGCUCAAGGCCCCUAUCAGCCCCUCUCAGCUUGAACACAUUUGAGCUGUCUCUCCCGACUUCCUGCCUGAGCCUUGCCAGGGCAAAGCAUUGAACACUUUUAUCUUUCUGGAAUGUUUCUACCCAGACAGCUCAGCAGUUAAGAGCACUUGCUGUCCUCGAAGAGGACCUAGGUUUGGUUCCCAGCACACACAGCCGACAACUACCUGUAACUCCAGUUCCAGGGGAUCUGGUGAUGCCCUCAUCUGUUCUUCACAGGUACCAGGUAUGACCAUGGUGCACAUGUAUGAAGACAAAGCACUCAUACAUAUGUUUUAAAAAUCCAGUUCAAAGAACUCCCAAUUCCAUGAAGAAUUUCUUUGGUGGCCUUAAAACUGCAGAAUGCUGUCAUGCCUUAUGUUGGCUCUCAGGUGCCACUUAGAGCUCACGAAAGACUACGGAGGAAGAGGGCAGAGGAGGGAAACUCAGCGAAGUGUUUCCAUGCUGGUCACUGGCGCCUGCUUCCAAAGGUCAACAUCAGUUUCGGUUAAGGAGGAAAGUUCACCGAGACUGCUCUGAAAAACUGUCCAGGCUAGGAUGAGGGACCACAGCCUGGCCUUCAGGGAGCUUCCAGACCGAGAGGCAGAUCACCCCUUUCCUGGGUCGGAGAGACUGAGUGGGGACGGGAGCUAGUACUUACUCAGUACCUAUGGUCGGCCAGACCCCAGAACACGUCAUUCAAUCUCACGACAGUUCUGUGAAGUCAUGUUGUGAUGCCCAUUCUAGAGAUGAGGAAAUACAGAGUCGGAGAAGUUAAGGACUUUCCCAAAGGAGGCUCACAGCCGGUAGCAAUGAGCUGAGAAUGGAACUCCCCAUCCAGGUCUUUCCCCUACACCAUUGUUGAACAAGGAACUCGGCUUCACAACUACUGACAGCCCCAAAGCCUAACACUUCUGCUGUCCCAAUGCCAGUUAAAAAGAAAAAAAGGAAGCUCCGCGCAGCCCUAGUGUCCAUACCUUGAAUCUCUGAAGAAAAGGUCAACUUCGAGGACUUGCGUUACUCCAUAAGGGCAGAGGUUCCCUAUGAAGGCUCAGCAAAUGAAGGGAAUCUUCCCAAGCGUCUCUGUAGCAGGGCCUUCCAUUGGCUGUUUUCUUUGUGCAGGGCUGGCACUGCCAAGCAAGGUGGACUCAGAAUGGAGGCCCAGAGAAUACAGGAUGCAACAGGUCCAAGCCCUCUGAUCUGUUCAGCCCGUCAAGCCACCAGGCAAGCUGUUUACAUGGAAUCCAUAGCUCCACCAGGGGCAGAACACAUUUUUCCACAACUGCUGAGAAAGAUGAGCAGCUCGAGGCAGAAUAACAAAAAGCCACUUCAAAAACACACCAGAAGAAGUCACGAAGCGGAGACAAUCACAGCGUAGCCUUGUUUAGAAGGUGAACUCUCAACCCUGGCUGCAUGUUGAAAUUGCCUCGGAGGUUCAACAAUCAUCAGUCAAUCAAUCAAUCAAUCGAUCGAUGUGAUUCCCAGCGUCCUGGGACGCACCCUGGUCAACAGUAGUUUUCAAAGUUCUUCAAAUGAUUCUAAUGUCCAGACAAGGACUGUGAUCCUCCUAGAACUUCUCAAAGUCUGGUGAUGCCCAUGGACCACACCUGGAGUCAUAGCUGUCCGUGUUUAUGUUCCUGUCACUGGAACUGAACCAGGAAGCUGGGAGAGAAGUUCCCCAAACUCAACCCGAGUAGUUGUGCUGUGGGUCGGAAUCAGAUAGAUAACCCCAAGGCAGAAAAUGAAAGACAAAGCCAGGCUGUGCUGUGCCAUCAGGUAAUGAAGAAGCCGUUUUAAACUGAGGGAGCCAGAAGGACCCACAGAGCAUAAAAGAAGAGCUGACAAGUGCUGUUCCGUACCCCAUCCCUCUCUUCUGGCCAUGUCCUUUGGCAAGUGUUGAUGAUGUCCCCAAGCCCACAUGUGAGAGAACCCCAAACUUAGAAUUAGAGACUUUCCCAAAGGUUAUGUGUAUUGCUGGGCCUUAGACCCUGGUCUCAGUUGAGCAUGGUGGUGCACACUUGUAAUCCCAGACUUGGGAGAGUUCAAGGUUAUCCUUACUUGUGUAGUAAGUUCAAGGCAACUUGAGCUACAUGAGAUUGUCUUAUACAACAAAACACAACACAACCAAGCAAACAGCACAAAAGCAAACAUUUGGUAGUAUUUGAGCUUGAGUCCCAAACAAACCUGGCCUCUUACAAUGUAUCAAGUCAGACCCAUCUUUUAGGAUUCAGUGGUGGCACACCUUUAAUCCCAGCACCCAGGAGGCAGAGGCAGAG